RNAcentral lists this long non-coding RNA (1669 nucleotides) under Vombatus ursinus (common wombat). RNAcentral describes it as "lncRNA (ENSVURG00010003217.1)". The record is from RNAcentral. Lineage: Eukaryota; Metazoa; Chordata; Mammalia; Diprotodontia; Vombatidae.
CCAUCUUCCCAUUUUACAAACGGGGGAAACUGAGGCCUCAAGAAGGCAAGGCACACGUGAUUUGGUGCCCUUGCCGUCACGCCAUCUGCACUCUUCCUUUGGCCCUUGCGUGGACACUGCUGACCACCCACUCACUGCACAUGAACCCCCACGGCCAGUUAGUUAUCCAGCAUCUUGGAAAGGGACCCAGGCUGCUGGCCCAGGACUCGAAAGCGCCUUUGGCCUCAGCACCGAGCCUCUCAGUCUUGACGCAGAUGAUGUGUGUGAUCCCUGCAGUCUCUGGGGGGCGGCAGGCACCUUACAAGAGGCAGCCCUGUUCCCCAGACCUGGCGUCCUCCCCCCGCACCCCAUGAGCGCCCCAGAUGAGCAGGGAGCAGCCCCACCUCAAGGAUCAAGGCUUUGCCAAGGUGACUUUUACUACCCAGCCCAGAUGGCAUAAAGCAUAUCUGAAGACCGGAGAGCAUUCAGAUAUUUUGCCAUAACUUAUACUGUUGCUUAUAAAGUACACUGAAGGGUUGCUGUGUAUUAACAUUGUUCCAUCAUGGGGGUAUAUUGUGAUUGAGAACAGGAGAGAGCAGCUACCAUAAUUACUCAGGUGCUGGAAGACUGAUUUUCUCGCUUGGUCACCAUUCAUCAUGGGUGAGAAAGUUGGAGGCUUUCCCAGUGAGAGGAAUGAUUCAAGUGGAAGAGAGAAACAGUAGUUGGAGUAGCUUUCCUCUCGAUGACGGUGUAGGCAUAACAGCACUGCCCUUCACCCUGACAGAUGCAUCGGCGAGAAUUAAGGAUGGUGUUCCUAGAGCCUAACACGGGACUCCGUGUGGAGAGCUGAGGUCCUUUUCAGAGGAGCAGCUUCUUCAGCCAAAUAAGGAAUCUUUUGAGUUCUGGCUGGGACAUGCCCCUGAUGGGUUACAGGGGGGCCCAAGACUGUCUGGACAUGUCAGUUUGGUAGCAUAAGAAAUAUUGAUGGUCCCCGCAAAGGAUAAAUGGACUGAUAGGGACCAUCUCCUGGAGCAUGCCAAGCAUUGCCCUUCCCAAUUCCGACUGACCACAUGGAAGGGUUGGGGCCAACGUCCAGUCGUGUGAUGACCUGGCACUGAAAGUUCGUUGUGUUUUGGCACAGCCCUGAGUGGUCCUUUGUUCGUCCUGCUGCCCCCAACAGCUUUUAACUCUGUCGUUCAAAAGAAGAGAGAGUUUCUGGCUUAGCCGAUCUUCCUUCAACUCUUCAAGCAGUAUCCAGUGGCCCUGACUUGCAUCCAGAGUUGGGGGAGGGCAGGUUUUUCUUCAACCUAACCUGGGGUUUCUCUGCCCACAUGGUUGCUGGAUGACACAAGGGGACUCAGCUAGGCAAGCUUGAUUCUAUCUGAGCUCCCAGAUUCUUCUCCCCUUUGGUGUUUGUUCUUUCUGAAUCUUUGGUGAACAGAUCUCUACCCUGACAUGGACAUAUCCAGGAUUGGAGGCAAGUUCAGGGAGUCCAGAGGUUCUGGACUGAAACUGGACAGCAACAGGGGAGAUGUCCCCAGAUCUAUUCCAGUGCCCUCAGAGAGGAAGCCCAUUAAAAACAGGAUUGGCCUAAGCCUGGCCUUUUACCAGCAGCAGACACAUACUGGGAGUCAUUUGGACUCUGCAGAGCCCAUGUGAAAUAAAGUGCCUAAUAAUAAAGUGCCUUGGC